AUUGAACGCUGGCGGCAGGCCUAACACAUGCAAGUCGGGCGAGUGGCGGACGGGUGAGUAAUGUAUGGGGAACUGCCUGAUGGCGGGGGAUAACUACUGGAAACGGUAGCUAAUACAGCAUACCAUCAGAUGAACCCAUAUGGGAUUAGCUAGUAGGUAAGGUAACGGCUUACCUGGGAGACGAUCCCUAGCUGGUCUGAGAGGCGGAACAGCCACACUGUGACUGAGACACGGCCCAGACUCCUACGGGAGGCAGCAGUGGGGAAUAUUGCACAAUGGGCGCAAGCCUGAUGCAGCCAUGCCGCGUGUAUGAAGAAGGCCGUCGGGUUGUAAAGUACUUUCAGUCGGGAGGCGUUACCGACAGAAGAAGCACCGGCUAACUCCGUGCCAGCAGCCGCGGUAAUUC
This 406-nucleotide ribosomal RNA is filed under the name uncultured bacterium. RNAcentral's name for it is "partial 16S ribosomal RNA". It matches the Rfam family "Bacterial small subunit ribosomal RNA", at positions 30 to 526 of the family's 1533-position model. The record is from RNAcentral.